RNAcentral lists this unclassified non-coding RNA (5762 nucleotides) under Pomacea canaliculata. RNAcentral describes it as "uncharacterized LOC112558911, transcript variant X1". Lineage: Eukaryota; Metazoa; Mollusca; Gastropoda; Architaenioglossa; Ampullariidae. The record is from RNAcentral.
UGGUGACUUCGGACCCGCACGAUAGGCCUGUGGAAACCAGGCUGACCAGACAUGCAUUAACAAGACCAAGCCUGGACCUGAUGUGAACUUCUUUCCUCUGAGUCCAAUCAAGUCCUCUGUCCAAGCUGUUGAUGCCUGUCAGUAUCAGGCUUUUGAGAGCAGAUUUACUCUGAUGUUUUACUUAGACAAAGAUCACCAGCUGUACAUGAACUGGUCUUCAUAUGAAAAUGAAAGUGGCAUCUAUGACUAUGAAGUGGGUCUGGCUUCAACAAAGAAUUAUGGAGACACCCCUGACAUCUCUCCUUUUACCAGCACACACCACAACUUUUAUCAGAAUGAUAAUCUGUCACUGCCAGUUGGAACUCCGUUUUAUAUAUUUAUCAAAGUCCAAAAAGCGGGAAAUGUCUCUUAUGCAGAACUGGGUCCUAUAGUUGUAAUUCAAUCUUCAGCCACUUACUCUGGAACAUUGAAUUUAACUAUGGAAUCAGAUUUUCUGGUUGUACGGUGGGAUGUACAGCUAUUUACAGAUCCAGAGAAAAAGUAUCUUAAGUUUUAUGUUGCCUUGGAGGAGCUAACAAGCGGCACGUUAUUGCAUCCAAAGUCUCUUGCACGUGCUUCGGGUAGCUGCAUCCAGUCCACUCCACCAUCAUGUGCUGCCUUCAACAUCUCGGAGCUUCACUGGGGACUUCAUCAACAACAUGCAUAUGUUGCAAAAGUGCAGGUCACAAACAUUGUAGACCUUGACCUCAUGUUGACAUCUGAACCCUACGUGCAUGACAGUAGGGGUAUGUAUUGCUAAUGCAUUUUCAUUUUCUUGUGUUAUGAGUGCAUGUGUGCCAUGUCCCCUUUACACAUUCUCGUGACUAUUGAAGAAGCUUUAACAGAUAAAUAUUCUCUUGGACCGUCCAAAUCUUGUAUAUUUUUUUUCCUAGUCCGAGAACUUUGACAAGACAUUAGUAUUCAGCACUCAUCUAAGUUCAGAAACAUACAGUAUUAAUCGACAAGUGGGGAUUAAGACACACAACAAGCGCCAACAGGGAGGAUGCUACAAACAACACAACACAACACAACACUAUACUAACCUCAGCUGAGGGAAUUCAACAUAAAUCUUCCAAAAAGGAAUUCAAAAAUUAAAAACCUCUUUAUAGGGAAUUUAAAACUUAUCUUUAACACUUCAGAAAUCAAAGCAUCAAGUAAUUUACGAGUACUGCUUUUAGUUCAUAAUAAUUCUCUUUAAAUCAUGAAUCAAAAUUCUUCGAAAACUAAAACAACCAUGCAAAAUAAACACUGUUCUCUUUCAUACUCACUCUUAAAAGGAAGCUUUAUUUAUUGAUUAUGAUAUAUCUUUAGUACUGCAGAAGUUCAGUUUCGGAAAAGAAUGCUUGUCCACUCAGACAAAACGAUUAUACUCACAACAUAUAUGGAAGUGAGUACCCACAGAUUAAGCCAAUGCAGCACAAGAGACCACACAUCCCCGUCAAAAGGUGACUGACCAGCGAGCAUAAGACACGGACGACCUCGUGAGGUCAGACCGCGCAACACACUGACGAGUCGGUUAGUGAUGGGGGUCACCGCUGCAGAUAGUCCUAGACCGCUUCACGCGCACGUGAUUCAGCGGACACCUUGGCAGAAAACAACAUAUUUCCAACAUAGGAACAAUUAAUUACUCCGACCCUUUACUCAAAAGCUUGGACACACGCUAUUGGAGGUCAUGUAGCAUCAACGCGCGUGCGUUGUGUAUCAUCGCAACAAUGAUCAAAUUUAUUUUUAAGCCAAUAACAGCCGAUAAAGGGAUCAUGCUCGUGGACGCCGAAAAGACGCGACCAUCGAUGCAAGGGACUUUAAGCCUUUAAUCCAAUGGCAGACUAAGCUGCAACUGUUAACGCUUUGCAUGCCCGCGGUUUUGAAAUUUCGGUGUUUUCGCGUUUUGGCCAAUGUCGCUGCAGCUACAGAAAAUUCUUCAUGAGCGAUCGCUGUUCGACAUUGUUUUUUGGCAACAGUAAGUACAAAGUAGCAAGUAGUAUUUUUAGCAGUCUUCUAUAAUUUUAGAAAUGGAAUUCAGUCCAAAAUAAGUUGUUGUGCAAGAGGUUGUGGCACGUGAUUGGUAAAUUCAAUAAGAUGGCAUUUAUGCUGCACAUUAAGUGUGGUCUUUAUUUAUUGUCAUUUCAUUGCUACUAGAAUUACAGUUUGGCUGUUUUUAUUAAUGUCGAUUUGAUUUACUGUUGUAUAGGUGAAUACAAAGAAGUUUGCGGACUCUGUGAGAGGCCCAGAGAAAUCUUAUAGGUGGACACCAACUCACAAAAUACCCACACACAGCACAGAAGAAUACAGAUAACUCUUAGACGGUCUUUUUUAUUCUAUAUUUCAAUUUAAUUUAUUUAAUUUGCUAGCUUUAGCAGCAGUACUAGCUGAAUGUGACCUUUUGCCGUCUGUAAGGCAGUGUCUGUGAUAGAAAGAGAGUGUGGAAAAGAAAGCAAGCGAAGUAGAGGGGUAGUGUGAAUGUAUGUGCACAUACAUAGGAUAGGCUUGAUUAUUCUUUCUUUUGUUUUCUUUCUUACAUCAUCAAGUCAUAUUCCGAGUGCAGUGUCACUUUGCUGUAAACAAAUUAUUUAAAACAAAUAAUUUAAAGUGUCCCUAUUUAAAUACUUUAAAAUGUAGAUGCUAUUCUCUUUGCCACAAAUUCGUGUGGGGAACUCAAAGUUGUGCCCACGUCUUGGUAAAAGAGUGUACUUAUACUUACCUGAAGAUGAUCAACUUAAAGUCUUGACAUUUUUAAAAAAGUGUUCUUUAAGUAUCAUGUAACAUUUAAACACUUUUAACAAAUUGUCUUGAAUGUGUCUUGAAUCUCAGGGGCCAGGCACGAGGAAUGGACAGCGGGGUCGUAGCUGAACUGCUGGCUCGGGAUGACUCUCGAGUUCUCUGCCACCGACGCCGACACGUGCGUACGAGCGCAUGGCCGCAGCAUGUGUCGAGGAGAGAAGAGGAUAUUGAAAUCAAUGCUCAUCAAGAGGAUGGUGCAGCAGAUUCAACAAAUACGAGGAAAACAACGAAGCUGAGGAUAUUCCCUCAUCUGCAGACGGGGAUUUUCUGAACGAAUGGUGUAAAAACCUGAGUGGUUUUCAUAUGAAACCAAGCUUCGUCGCCACGCCAGGUUUGAGGGACUAUCUAAAUCUUCCCCCUCGGGGGAAUUUUAAGCCCAUCGAUUUUUAAAAAUUUCUUUAUAAAUAAGGAUUAGAUAAAGAAGAUGAAGGUGAAUAUGCACAGCAGGUGAUAGAUAAGGUUAAAAAAUCUAAAGUUACUAUUUCAGCUAGAAACAUGGAAGCCUGUACAAGUCUGUGAGUUGUAUAAUUUUGGGGCUUUUAUUUUACAUACGAGCGUUUUGCAGAAGCCUAGACUUACUGAUUACUGGACAAAAUGUUCAUUUCUUCAAACAACGUUUGCUUCUAAGAUAAUGAAGCGUGAUAGGUUUAUGAGCAGUAUGCUGUGCUUCCCACUUCCGUGUGCUUAUGUAAGUGUAUUUACACAAAUUUUGACUUUCAAACCACCAUGAGGCACGCAAAACAGGAGUGUAAAGGCGGUUCUAUCUUCUCGCCGGAAAGAAAAAAAGCUGUAAGGACGUGCGAAUAUCUUUCCUGUCUGCCAAGAGAAGUGGCGUGUUGCAUAGCAGGUAACGAAUCUAGCCGUUAGCGAAGCUAGCGGUCCCUGUGCAACGCAGAAUAGCCGGAAGACAGAGCUUCAAGAUGGCAGACAUGAGGCGAGGUUUGAGUGCAGUCUUUGUUUUGCAAUUACAACCCGUGUUUCGGAAGAUUCACCCCGACGUGCUGAGAGGUGUUGCAAAGCUGUAGCAAAACUGUCGCAUAUAAAUAUCGAGCUUGCGGCCCACCUGUCCACAGAAGUCAAUCAGGACAAAAGUGAAAACUCCAACGCGCACGUGGUCGAUUUCGUCUAAGUCACCGUUCCACGAUACUCGCACUUUCGAAUGUUCCCGGACGCCUUUGAUGUAAGUUACUGUAAUAAAAUUUAAAUAAAGUAAAAUGUAAUAAACUUAAUAAAAUAUAAAUAAAAAUACCAAAAUCAAUUAUAGCGAAUGUGAACGUCUUUUAUAUAUAUAAAUGCAUUACUAAACUUAUCUAUAAUUCUGCUCACACACACAAGAGAAACAAAAACUGUCAUAGAGAUCUUUGGUGAAAUUUUUCAGGUUCUCCAGGCUUGGAUUGAGCCUCAUCUGCCGCAAGGAAGAGGUUUCGGCAAUAGAACUAAGCUUCUUGCCACCUUGUGGUUGCUGGCAAAUAAAGAGUCCUAUCGCAGCGUGGCAGAUCGUUUUGUAAUGAAUAAGGGUUCACUACACAGAUGCGUAAUGCUGAUCUGCAGGACAAAGCAAAGCAAGGCGGUGUCAUCCAACGGCCAGAAAGGAAUGCCCUUCACAUGCUUGCUGAAAAAUGGGAGCAGAAAGCUGGAAUGCCGGGUGUUGUAGUUGCUCUUGAUGGCACCAUCCUUGGAACUACAGGGCCAAGACGGGAAAGUUAUAUAUGCAGAAAGGGCUUUCCUGCUAUGCAUCUUCAGGUUCAGUUCACGACAGCAGUGCCUUCAGGACCUGCAAUCUGUAUCACCAUUUAGAAUCACCAGAAGGACGACUUCCACAUCAGUAUUUUCACCUCCUUGACAUUCCAUAUGUGAUUACUGCCGCCUGUGUUCUCCACAACACUAUUUUGAUACAAAGCGGUGUUGAUGAAAAUGAUAUAGACAUCAAUGAUGAAGACGGUAGCGAUCAGGCGGGUCAUCUUGAUGGGCUAAAUAUAGGAGCAGGCAAUACAAAGCGCCAUGAGAUUGCUAAUUAACCAGUGAAGAGCACCAAAACCACCCUUCAGAAUAUAUUCACCCAUAUUUGCCAUGCCACGUCUAUACCAUCUUUAAUCAGUAUCUGCAUUUCUCUUCCACCACCAUUUAUUAUUUGCAUUAUAUAAUUUGAAUAUUUCGCAUAAAUAUCUCUUGCAUUUGUGUCAACGUGUGUAUUUUUUUUUUUUUUUUGCCCCGUGCAAAUUGAGGUGUACAUGUCUUUGUGUCACCAUCAUUAAUAAUUUGUCCACCAUAUAUUUGUGCAUAUAUUAUAUGAUGUGUACAUUUAUAUUUAUGAUUUGUGUGACUUUACAGUUGUGAUUAUGUUGUCUGCAGAAGUUGACCCUUCUGACUUUAUGCAUACAUCUACGUAAAUAUAUCUCGUGAGUUUGAUUUACUGUCUUAAAGUAAAGAAAGAACCAGAACUGAUAGACCCCUUUCCUCUAAACACACACACAGUUUACAUCUGUUGCUAUCUAAAGUUUUUUAAAAAUCGUCUGUCCGGGGCAACUAGUCUUGUAGUCUGUUGCCAAGCACGACUACCGACACAUUUUCAAGACGUGGGCUUUGUUGGUGUGGGUCCAUAGCAGCCUACGUUAGUUCAGGUAUCGUGGUCAUUCUCACCAGGCGAAGAUGUUUGUUAAAUGAACACAUUGCUCACACGUGAAUUUCUUCAUGCGUAGAGAGGGUCAGGUGACUACUCGGUAUUAAUUCAGUCUUACAUCAAAAAAGGUGGCGAGCCCUGUUGUAGGGACUAACUAACACCGGAAUGAGACCGGAGUCCUGUAUUUAUUCUGUGUGCGUGUGUGACCUGUAAAGUACAAAAGCAAUCUGAUUUAUGUCUGUCAAGAGUGAACAGCGACACCAGCAUUCAAGUAUUCUGAACCCUAGACUCGACAAUUAAUCCUCUUCCCAACUUUCCUAAA